UGUGGAGGAGGACGCCGAAGGUGGGGCUAAUGACUGGGGUGAAGUCGUAACAAGGUAGCCGUACCGGAAGGUGCGGCUGGAUCACCUCCUAACAGGGAGACAACAAAAUGUUUAAUAUUAUUAUUUUGUCACCUUAGGUCGAUCGGUACCUCACGUUCUUAAUUUAUUAAGAAUUUCAUUUCCUAAGUUUUUCUAGGUCACACCCAUUAUUUUUCCUGGGCCAUUAGCUCAGGUGGUUAGAGCGCACCCCUGAUAAGGGUGAGGUCCCUGGUUCAAGUCCAGGAUGGCCCAUAUCUCUAUGUUGGGGGUAUAGCUCAGUUGGUAGAGCGCCUGCUUUGCAAGCAGGAUGUCAGCGGUUCGAGUCCGCUUACCUCCACUGAUUACCACCUCUUCCAUAAUUUGUAGAAAGGAAAUUUUUUGAGUUGUGAUCAAAUUCUGAACGAAUCUAGCUUCCUAAUGAAAUCAUUAAGAUGCUGGACUCAUUGAAUUAAUUUCAUUGUUUUCAGAGAACCUUGACAACUGCAUAGAUUAUUUUAAAGACAAUAAGCAUCUUUAAUGAUGCAGAUUUAUUAUUUGUGCGAAUGCAUUAAUAACAAUUCUAUUAAGCUGAUGCUUCAAUUUUGAAGUUAUUGGUCAAGCUACAAAGGGCUCACGGAGGAUACCUAGGCACACAGAGGCGAU
Molecule: unclassified non-coding RNA, 681 nt
Filed under: uncultured Prochlorococcus sp.
Lineage: Bacteria; Bacillati; Cyanobacteriota; Cyanophyceae; Synechococcales; Prochlorococcaceae
Description: partial may contain 16S ribosomal RNA, 16S-23S ribosomal RNA intergenic spacer, and 23S ribosomal RNA
Rfam family: tRNA (bases 304-376)
Source: RNAcentral